GACGAACGCUGGCGGCGUGCCUAAUACAUGCAAGUCGAACGCACAGUUUAUACCGUAGCUUGCUACACCAUAGACUGUCAGAUGCGUACGGAUCGCUAACUCGUCCUUCACCUGACUGGUAGCGGAGGGUAACUAAUGACAACUAUUGCUACUACCGCAUUAUAUUCAUUAUUGCAUGAUGAUUAAUUGUAACGUGCACUUGUACCCCUACCCGAUAGACCUGCGUUGUAUUAGCUAGUCGGUGAGGUAACGGCUCACCUAGGCGACGAUAAAUAGCCGAUCUGAGAGGAUGAACGGCCACACUGGGACUGAGACACGGCCCAGACUCCUACGGGAGGCAGCAGUAGGGAAUCUUCGGCAAUGGACGAAAGUCUGACCGAGCAACGCCGCGUGAGUGAAGACGGUUUUCGGAUCGUAAAGCUCUGUUGUAAGGGAAGAAAGGGUGUGAGAGGGGAAAGGACACAGUGUGACGGUAUCUGAACAGAAAGGGACGGCUAACUACGUG
This 505-nucleotide ribosomal RNA is filed under the name uncultured bacterium. RNAcentral's name for it is "partial 16S ribosomal RNA". It matches the Rfam family "Bacterial small subunit ribosomal RNA", at positions 28 to 507 of the family's 1533-position model. The record is from RNAcentral.